This 451-nucleotide small RNA is filed under the name Oryza sativa Japonica Group (Japanese rice). RNAcentral's name for it is "sRNA Os05g0258501". Lineage: Eukaryota; Viridiplantae; Streptophyta; Magnoliopsida; Poales; Poaceae. The record is from RNAcentral.
UACCCACUCCAAGAGAUAUAUCUUGCUUUCCUCAAGGGAGUUGUUUGUAUUCGAUCGACCAGCAACAGUCUCCAACAUAAGUACUCCAAAUGCAAAAACAUCGGCCUUCUCUGACAAAUGACCUCUCAUUGCAUACUCAGGAGCUAGGUAGCCCCUUGACAAAGAUAAGAUAAAUUAAUAGUAGCAAUCAUAUUGAUAUUGCGGUUUUAAGAAGAGAAAUGGUUAAAUGUUCUUACAUUGUGCCCGCAAUUCUUGUGCUCACAUGAGUUUUCUUCUCAUCAUAUAGUUUGGCAAGUCCAAAGUCAGAGAUCUUUGGGGUGAGGUCAGUGUCAAGUAGGACAUUGCUGGCUUUGAUGUCCCUAUGCACAAUGCGGACACUUGACUCCUCAUGAAGAUAUGUUAGGCCUCUUGCUAUGCCUAAAAUGAUAUCAAAUCGCAUUGCCCAAUCUAG